Molecule: ribosomal RNA, 440 nt
Filed under: uncultured bacterium
Lineage: Bacteria
Description: partial 16S ribosomal RNA
Rfam family: Bacterial small subunit ribosomal RNA
Source: RNAcentral
CCUACGGGAGGCAGCAGUGGGGAAUAUUGCACAAUGGGGGAAACCCUGAUGCAGCGACGCCGCGUGAGUGAAGAAGGCUUUCGGUAUGUAAAGCUCUAUCAGCAGGGAAGAAAAUGACGGUACCUGAUUCAGAAUCCCCGGCUACCCACGUACCAGCAGCCGCGGUCAUACGUAGGGGGCAAGCGUUAACCGGAUUGACUGGGUGUAAAGGGAGCGUAGACGGGAGAACAAGUCUGGAGUGAAAUGCCGGGGCUUAACCCCGGAACUGCUUUGGAAACUGUGCAGCUAGAGUGCAGGAGAGGUAAGUGGAAUGCCUAGUGUAGCGGUGAAAUGCGUAGAUAUUAGGCGGAACACCAGUGGCGAAGGCGGCUUACCGGACUGUAACUGACGUUGAGGCUCGAAAGCGUGGGGAGCAAACAGGAUUAGAUACCCGAGUAGUC